CCCUUAGACGUUCUGGCCGCACACGCGCUACACUGACCAGUGCAACAAGCAUCCGUCCUUGGCCGACAGGCUCGGGCAAUCUUUGAACGCUGGUCGUGAUGGGGAUAGACUUUUGCAAUUUUUGGUCUUCAACGAGGAAUUCCUAGUAAACGCAAGUCAUCAACUUGCAUUGAUUACGUCCCUGCCCUUUGUACACACCGCCCGUCGCACCUACCGAUUGAAUGGUCCGGUGAAGCCUCCGGAUUGGCGCGCACCUCGGUGCCGCCGAGAAGUUGGCUAAACCUUACCAUUUAGAGGAAGGUGAAGUCGUAACA
RNAcentral lists this ribosomal RNA (314 nucleotides) under uncultured eukaryote. RNAcentral's name for it is "partial 18S ribosomal RNA". It matches the Rfam family "Eukaryotic small subunit ribosomal RNA", at positions 1470 to 1796 of the family's 1831-position model. The record is from RNAcentral.